Odocoileus virginianus texanus is the source of this 1099-nucleotide non-coding RNA. NCBI's taxonomy places the organism in Eukaryota, Metazoa, Chordata, Mammalia, Artiodactyla, Cervidae. The record is from RefSeq and is a predicted model, not a curated record.
CCAAGGGACCACUAUUCCCCGGGGGCUCCGGGUUUGGUCUUCCUACGGACGGUGCUGCGCCAGGGCCCUGAGCCAUAAGGGGGGUGGGGGAGGGGUGGGGAGAUCCCAGCACUGAACCCUUCUGCGCCGCUAGUUCUUAUGUAUUUUACGUGGAGGGGUGACUCGGGCUUUCCCCCAAGACUUAAAGAAAAGAGGGAGCUGUAGGGGCUCUUCUUUAAUAAGCCGAAGCUCUUGCAAGGAGGAGGGCACCGAAAGUAGUGGAGCUCAGGUACGUCAACCUAGUUGCAGUGGCCACAGAUGCAUUUAAUUUAUAGAUCCCUGUAUAUAGUUGUUGACAUAUGCACUAGAAGCUAUAAUUACAUAGAACUACAUGUAUCCUCCCACACCCUGGGUAGCUACUGACUGAUGGGGUUAAGCAAGGGCUAUUUGCUGGCCCCCAAAGUGCAGCUAGCCAGAAGGGCACAAACACUUUUUACAUUACCCAUUUUUUUACCUUUUCCCCCUCCUAUUUCAGAAAGAUAGGUUUAUGACACAAAAGAGUGUAAUUGUUCUCAAACCUGUUGAAAGGACGAUGGAAAACCUUUGGAGAAGUAGAAGCAGUUUGGGGAGGGCGGGGAAUGUACCGGUCCCCUCCUCUUCCCACCCUAGUGCCCCCACCUAAGAGGCUUUCUGUUGCAGCCCUAAGUAUCUGGAUACCCGCCAGGGAAGAAAGGAAGGGAAAGAGCAAUAUCUCUGUGCUUCAACCCUUGGCCUCACAGAGGUUAGGAAGAGCAAGCUUUUAAUCCUUUGAACUGGCAGGAGAACAUCUGGGAGUCCAGUCCCCUGUCCCCAUUCUGACCCCUGCAUUCUGGACUGUUGAAUCCACUCUGGGAUGGAUCGGCGUCUAGAGAGACCACUCGUGGGUUCAGCUGUUGGCCUCCUGACUCUAAUGCCUUCACUGGAAUUGGGACAUCAGCUCCAGCCCCAGUUGUGAGCGUGACCAGAGACAUUAUUUAUAAUUCAGCCAUUUAAGAUAUACCUGUACUCAAAAAGUCCUGUAUAUUUUUUAAAAGUUUUAUUUUUCAGGUGAACAAAAAUACAUUCUAAGAACUCUACGUCA